Molecule: ribosomal RNA, 694 nt
Filed under: uncultured Methanosaeta sp.
Lineage: Archaea; Methanobacteriati; Methanobacteriota; Methanomicrobia; Methanotrichales; Methanotrichaceae
Description: bacterial SSU rRNA
Rfam family: Archaeal small subunit ribosomal RNA
Source: RNAcentral
UCCGGUUGAUCCUGGCGGAGGUUACUGCUAUCGAGGUUCGACUAAGCCAUGCGAGUCGAAUGUAGCAAUACAUGGCGUACUGCUCAGUAACACGUGGACAACCUACCCUUAGGUCGGGGAUAAACCCGGGAAACUGGGUAUAAUACCCGAUAGUCCUCGGAUGCUGGAAUGCACCAAGGUCUAAAGCUCCGGCGCCUAAGGAUGGGUCUGCGGCCUAUCAGGUAGUAGUGGGUGUAGCGUACCUACUAGCCUACGACGGGUACGGGUUGUGAGAGCAAGAGCCUGGAGAUGGAUUCUGAGACACGAAUCCAGGCCCUACGGGGUGCAGCAGGCGCGAAAACUUUACAAUGCUGGAAACAGCGAUAAGGGGACCUUGAGUGCCAGGUUACAAAUCUGGCUGUCGUGAUGCCUAAAAAGCAUUGCAUAGCAAGGGCCGGGCAAGACCGGUGCCAGCCGCGGUAGCACCGGCGGCUCGAGUGGUAACCGCUAUUAUUGGGUCUAAAGGGUCUGUAGCCGGCCGGAUAAGUCUUUUGGGAAAUCUGGCAGCUUAACUGUCAGGCUUUCAGAGGAUACUGUCUGGCUCGAGGCCGGGAGAGGUGAGAGGUACUUCAGGGGUAGGGGUGAAAUCUUGUAAUCCUUGAAGGACCACCAGUGGCGAAGGCGUCUCACCAGAACGGACCUGACGGCAAGGGAC